This 110-nucleotide ribosomal RNA is filed under the name Stegastes partitus (bicolor damselfish). The record is from RNAcentral. Lineage: Eukaryota; Metazoa; Chordata; Actinopteri; Pomacentridae.
GCUUACAGCCACACCACUGUGACACCGACCGGUCCCAUCUGAUCUUGCGCAGUCGGGCCUGGUUGGUACUUGGAUGGGAGACCACCUAGGAAUACCCGGUGCUGUAAAGG